GAGAGAAAAAGAGGGAAGGAAAUGGAGAGAGGGGAGAUUGCCGACCGGAGAGAGGUGUGAAUGACGGCCAGUUGCAGUGGAGAGGGAGGGAGAAGCAGAUGGUGGGUAUGGGAGAAAAAACAAAAGGAUAAUUUUGGAAAUUCACUAUUUGAGUGUAUGAAAGGGGUUAUUUCUUUUCUAUCUUACACUUAAAUUGAAAAGUCAAAAAAAAAUUUGGGAUUGGUUUAUGGUAACAUGAUUUUCCUUUUUUUAAUUUUUUUGUCUCCUUCACAGCUUACAAAGGGAAUCAUUUCACGUGGCCCUCCUCUAAAGUCUCACUCGCUCUGUAAUAAAUUCCAAGAAGAUUAGGGUUUCAUGGAAAUAUCUCAAGCGAAUCAGGCUCAGUGUGGCCGAUGCAGCAAACUCUCAAAUCUCUAUAUCCGGAGGUAUGGAAUCUCAAAACUCCUGUUUUUUGAGCUUUAGUUCUGGAUUAUGUCAUGUGAUGCUUAAGAUGGCUGUGAGAUUUGAACGACUUGUAACUCAAGGAGAUGAUGCAGAGUUGGGUAAGGCUGCUUUUCUGUUGGGAGGAGGGCAAGAUAACGAUACCGAACGUGAGUUAUGAUUGUUAAUUGGCUUAGGAGGUCUUGGGAAUAUAUGUUUUUUCCGUGCAUCUCUUUUUUCUUAGAUGAUGUAUGGAAUGAAAUUAGGGUUUAUAUUUCCUUCCAUCGUUAUUAGGUUAAAAGAAGGGCACAAGGAAGUAAAAUUAUAUUUUUUAAAGUUUUAAAAUGAUAAAAACGAACAAAAAAGUUUUUCUUUUAACGAAAUUUUUCUACUUUAAAAUUAAGUUACUAUAUCUUUUAGCAAAUGCGGGUAAUGACAGAUAAAAGAUUGUUUGUCUUAGAUGAU
Molecule: long non-coding RNA, 885 nt
Filed under: Vitis vinifera (wine grape)
Lineage: Eukaryota; Viridiplantae; Streptophyta; Magnoliopsida; Vitales; Vitaceae
Description: long non-coding RNA (VVIN_LNC002700)
Source: RNAcentral